RNAcentral lists this ribosomal RNA (497 nucleotides) under uncultured bacterium. RNAcentral describes it as "partial 16S ribosomal RNA". It matches the Rfam family "Bacterial small subunit ribosomal RNA", at positions 28 to 507 of the family's 1533-position model. The record is from RNAcentral.
GAUGAACGCUGGCGGCGUGCCUAAUACAUGCAAGUCGAGCGAACAGACGAGGAGCUUGCUCCUCUGACGUUAGCGGCGGACGGGUGAGUAACACGUGGAUAACCUACCUAUAAGACUGGGAUAACUUCGGGAAACCGGAGCUAAUACCGGAUAAUAUAUUGAACCGCAUGGUUCAAUAGUGAAAGACGGUUUUGCUGUCACUUAUAGAUGGAUCCGCGCCGCAUUAGCUAGUUGGUAAGGUAACGGCUUACCAAGGCAACGAUGCGUGGCCGACCGGUGUGGGGGAUCGGCCACACUGGAACUGAGACACGGUCCAGACGCCUACGGGAGGCAGCAGUAUGGAACCUUCCGCAAUGGGCGAAAGCCUGACGGAGCAACGCCGCGUGAGUGAUGAAGAUCUUCGGAGCGUAAAACUCUGUUAUUAGGUAAGAACAAAUGUGUAAUUAACUAUGCACUUCUUGACGGUACCUAAUCAGAAAGCCACGGCUAACUACGUG